CCUACGGGGGGCAGCAGUGGGGAAUAUUGCUCAAUGGGCGAAAGCCUGAAGCAGCAACGCCGCGUGGGGGAUGAAGGUUUUCGGAUUGUAAACCCCUUUUGGUAGAGAAGAAAAUGAUGGGAUUCAUCGCCUAAGCACUGGCCAUCUCCGUGCCAGCAGCCGCGGUAAUACGGAGGGUGCAAGCGUUACUCGGAAUCACUGGGCGUAAAGAGCGCGUAGGCGGGAUGGCAAGUCGGAUGUGAAAUCCUUUGGCUUAACCAUAGAACUGCAUUUGAAACUGGUAUUCUAGAGUAUGGGAGAGGUAGGUGGAAUGCUUGGUGUAGCGGUGAAAUGCGUAGAGAUCGAGAGGAAUACUGAUUGCGAAGGCGGCCUGCUGGAACAAGACUGACGCUGAUGCGCGAAAGCGUGGGGAGCAAACAGGAUUAGAUACCCGAGUAGUC
This 440-nucleotide ribosomal RNA is filed under the name uncultured bacterium. RNAcentral's name for it is "partial 16S ribosomal RNA". It matches the Rfam family "Bacterial small subunit ribosomal RNA", at positions 338 to 795 of the family's 1533-position model. The record is from RNAcentral.